AAUAAUUUGGAAUAGAAAAUAAAUGAGACCUUAAGGAGAAAAUCACUCUGUUAGUGUGCAUUGAAAAAUGAAAACACUUGGUCAAGUUUGAAUCAACAAUUAAGUGAAUGCCGCCCUUUCUUGAUUCUAUGCUGUCACAACUUGAAGUGCAUCUUAGCAUACCUCCCGGUUGAGAUGGAUAUGUGGCCACACCAGAAAAGAUCAGGUCCGGAAUGAUGAUAUACGUGAUAGAGUUGGGUAGCACUGUUUGAAGAGAAGCUUGUCCAACAUCGUCUGAGAUGGUGUGGCCAUACAACGCAGGCCUCCAGAAGCGCCAGUGCAUAGCAGAUGGUUAAAUCAUGCUGAUAAUGUCAAGAGAGGUUGGGGUAGAACAAACUUGGCAUGGGAGAAGUCCGGAAAGAGAGAUCUGAAGGACCAGAAUAUCACCAAAGAACUAGCCAUGGACAGGGGUGUGUGGAAGUUAGCUAUUCACGUGCCAGAACCAUGACUUGGUUUCAAGAUCUUAUGGGUUUCAACUCUAGCCUAGCCCAAUUUGUUUGGGACGGAAAGGCCACUUGAAGCGAAACAAUUUAAUCAAUUUAAGCAAACAGUAUUCAUCCUAUUUGCAGUCUGAAACUGUUAAUAUAAGUUAUGCAUUAAGGGUGUGUUUGAUUUGGGGCAUAGGGUAGAAUGUAAUGGGUUCAUCCUACACAUAGCACAUAUUGUUGUGUUUAGUUUGAAAAGGAACCAGAACACACAUUCCUCAAAAGAGAAUAUACCCCUUAGACACAGUUCCACCCCUCUCGCCUCACCGUCCAUGCCCUCUCACCACACCCAAUCAUAUCCCCUUGCCUCUCUCGUCUAUGGUGGCAGCGGAGAUGGUCAGAUGGAAAGAGCAGCGGCGCCUCCAGCGAGAAUGCGACUAGUGGCAUCGGGAUAGCAGCCAUGGAAAAUCAGCGGCGGCGGCUAGCGGGGAAGAGAGGCAGUGUGGCGGGAGGGGUAGCCGUCGGCUGCUGGGUGGCGGACGAUUUGGCCAAGAGCAAGCCGGCAAGGAAGCCGACGCAGACCCACAUGCCAUGGGGGUGUUCGCCGUGGUUUGCGUGCUGACCGCCCAGGUGCUGUAUGCUGCACUGUUCAAGGUGCUUCUGCUUGGCAUGGUGUUCUUUUACCUCAGGCACCCAAGGUUCUCUAGGAUUGAGCCGAAUCGAUCUACUCACGCCAACCCUUUUCUUUCUCGCUUGAGAGCUUCAUCUUCUUGGCUAGCCUUUUCAGCUAGCUACCUUUUUCGAGAGAGAGAGAGAGAGUGCAGAAAUGCAAGCAAGAGAGAAUAAAUUGCUACUGGUUGUAAACUGCAAUCAGCAAGUGCAUGUGUGGUAAUGUCGAGUCUGAACUCUGAAGUGUUGGUGCAUGCGGGAGUCUGAACUCUGAAGUGUGUACCACAUGUCAGUUAUUUAUGGAUGCAGCUACUGAUGUUGUGUGGUUGUGGUGUGAUCCUACUUAUUCGGAUCGUUUGACAUCGCUAUUUGCUGCAACAGAUGGUUCUAUACUGAAAUACAAUUGAAACUUUUGCUUAGUUCGAAUAAUUUGUUGAUAAAAGAGGUAAUCUCACCAUUUCUAUUGCACAUAUGAAGAGGUAAUCUCACCAUUUCUAUACAAGAGGCGACCUGAACCAAAUUCAUUCCAUUUCGUCUCCCCGACCAAACACUGGAAUGCAACCCUUCCGUUCACCUAAUUAUCCAAACCAAACACAGGAACGGAACCAAGCCGUUCCAGUGGAAUGGUACCAUGACAUCCUAUUCCAUUUUGUUCCCAAACUAAACACACCCUAAGGGUCACAUUUCUACCACAGAUCACCCAGUUCCAGGAUCGAAGAUUCAGUUACUUACAUGUGCGUACUAAAUAACUAAAUAUAGCAUAUCAAAUCAUGCAUCACCUGUAAAGGGACCAAAUAGUUCUCGAGAUAAUAAAUUUCUUGACUAUAAACAGCUUGUGGUGCUAUAGCCUAUAGUUAUAGAGUGCAGGCUUUUGAAGGCCGAGCACCAGGUAGGCCGGUAUCUGGGCCGUGCAAUGAGUUUUGGGAUCUGAAAUGCGCCAGGCUUUUGACAGGCUGCUGUCGGCCUAGGCAUCCAAUAUACGGUCCGGAAUACAUCGGCCCAGCGUACAUGUUUGGCCCAUAUCCUGCUCGUGUGCCGCCUCCUGCCGUUAUCCUUGACCUCGUGGAAUUACCCCAGCCACGGAACAACUCUUCUUCUCCGCUCCCCUGUCUCUCCCAAGGCCGACGGGGCGCCGUCGCUCUCCGGCAAGAUGUUUGGGGUCGACUCCGACAGAUCCAGUCCACCUGCUUCACCACGCCGGAGUCUAUGGAAGUCCCUCGGCCUGGAGAGUGCAGGCUGCCAGUUCUGGACACUGGCCCUCUAGCCGUGAUGAGGCCGGUCGAGUAGCAGGCUUCUCUUCGCAUCGCCAAUGGGGAAAUCUGACGUGCCGGGAAACUAGGCGGCGCCAGGCAAAGCAUUAGAUUCCCCCUGAAUUUGACGGGAUUCAGGUGUGAUCUGAAGCUACCAACGGCUGGACUGGAGGUUUGGGAUGGGGGUAGCAGCAGUGAAGCGUGAGGUUGAUCCAAACAGAAAGAGUACUUUGGAAAUAUCAAUUAGGUUAUUUAUAACCAAGCUGGAAGUUUGUUCAUGGCUAAUGGUGUUUGGUGUUUUCGUGGCUAAUGGUGUUUUUUUUCUAUUGUUAGAAAAUGCAAAUGAUUUGGUUCUAUUGGAACAUAAAAGAGAUAUGAAGGCAAUUUGUUGAA
Long non-coding RNA from Aegilops tauschii subsp. strangulata, 2776 nucleotides. RefSeq lists it as uncharacterized. Lineage: Eukaryota; Viridiplantae; Streptophyta; Magnoliopsida; Poales; Poaceae. The record is from RefSeq and is a predicted model, not a curated record.